CUACGGGAUGCUGCAGUGAGGAAUACUGCACAAUGGGGGGAACCCUGAUGCAGCAACGCCGCGUGGAGGAUGACGCAUUUCGGUGUGUAAACUCCUUUUAUAUGUCAAGAAAAUGACGGUAGCAUAUGAAUAAGCACCGGCUAACUCCGUGCCAGCAGCCGCGGUAAUACGGAGGGUGCAAGCGUUACUCGGAAUCACUGGGCGUAAAGGACGCGUAGGCGGGUUGGAAAGUCAGGUGUGAAAUCCUACAGCUUAACUGUAGAACUGCACUUGAAACUUCUAAUCUAGAGUAUGGGAGGGGGAGAUGGAAUUAGUGGUGUAGGGGUAAAAUCCGUAGAUAUCACUAGGAAUACCUAAAGCGAAGGCGAUCUCCUGGAACAUUGCUGACGCUAAGGCGUGAAAGCGUGGGGAGCAAACAGGAUUAGAUACCCGUGUAGUC
Molecule: ribosomal RNA, 439 nt
Filed under: uncultured bacterium
Lineage: Bacteria
Description: partial 16S ribosomal RNA
Rfam family: Bacterial small subunit ribosomal RNA
Source: RNAcentral